UGUAGUUCAGUAGUAGAGUGUUUGACUGGCAUUCAUGAUGUCCUGGGUUUGAUUCCCAGUA
This 61-nucleotide transfer RNA is filed under the name Cavia porcellus (domestic guinea pig). It matches the Rfam family "tRNA", at positions 6 to 65 of the family's 71-position model. From Rfam's summary of the family: Transfer RNA (tRNA) molecules are approximately 80 nucleotides in length. Their secondary structure includes four short double-helical elements and three loops (D, anti-codon, and T loops). The record is from Rfam by way of RNAcentral. Lineage: Eukaryota; Metazoa; Chordata; Mammalia; Rodentia; Caviidae.